RNAcentral lists this ribosomal RNA (506 nucleotides) under uncultured Glomeromycotina. RNAcentral's name for it is "partial small subunit ribosomal RNA". It matches the Rfam family "Eukaryotic small subunit ribosomal RNA", at positions 591 to 1092 of the family's 1831-position model. The record is from RNAcentral. Lineage: Eukaryota; Fungi; Glomeromycota.
CCAAUAGCGUAUAUUAAAGUUGUUGCAGUUAAAAAGCUCGUAGUUGAAUUUCGGGAUUAACGUGACGGUCGUGCCUUAAGGGGUAUGAACUGUUACAGUUAAUUUCUCACCUUCUGGAGAAAUAUGAUGUCCUUAAUUGGGUGUCAUAUGGAACCAGGACUUUUACCUUGAAAAAAUUAGAGUGUUUAAAGCAGGCAUAUUGCUCGAAUACAUUAGCAUGGAAUAAUAAAAUAGGACGGCAUGAUUCUAUUUUGUUGGUUUCUAGGAUCACCGUAAUGAUUAAUAGGUAUAGUUGGGGGCAUUAGUAUUCAAUUGUCAGAGGUGAAAUUCUUGGAUUUAUUGAAGACUAACUACUGCGAAAGCAUUUGCCAAGGAUGUUUUCAUUAAUCAAGAACGAAAGUUAGGGGAUCGAAGACGAUCAGAUACCGUCGUAGUCUUAACCAUAAACUAUGCCGACUAGGAAUCAGACGAUGUUAAUUUUUUAAUGACUCGUUUGGCACCUUACG